Molecule: ribosomal RNA, 262 nt
Filed under: uncultured bacterium
Lineage: Bacteria
Description: partial 16S ribosomal RNA
Rfam family: Bacterial small subunit ribosomal RNA
Source: RNAcentral
UCAGAGUUUGUCAUGGCCAGGACGAACGCUGGCGGCGCGCCUAACACAUGCAAGUCGAACGGAGUCAAGAGAAGCUUGCUUUUCUUGACUUAGUGGCGAACGGGUGAGUAACGCGUGAGUAACCUGCCCUGGAGUGGGGGACAACAGUUGGAAACGACUGCUAAUACCGCAUAAGCCCACGGCCCGGCAUCGGGCUGAGGGAAAAGGAUUUAUUCGCUUCAGGAUGGACUCGCGUCCAAUUAGCUAGUUGGUGAGGUAACGG